UACAUGGGGUGCAAACGUUGCUCGGAAUCAUUGGGCGUAAAGCGCGCGUAGGCGGUUAUUUAAGUUGGAUGUGAAAGCCCUCGGCUUAACUGAGGAAGUGCAUCCAAAACUGAAUAGCUAGAGUACGAAAGAGGGUCGCGGAAUUCCCGGUGUAGAGGUGAAAUUCGUAGAUAUCGGGAGGAACACCGGUGGCGAAGGCGGCGACCUGGGUCGAGACUGACGCUGAGGCGCGAAAGCCAGGGGAGCGAACGGG
This 253-nucleotide ribosomal RNA is filed under the name uncultured bacterium. RNAcentral's name for it is "partial 16S ribosomal RNA". It matches the Rfam family "Bacterial small subunit ribosomal RNA", at positions 524 to 776 of the family's 1533-position model. The record is from RNAcentral.